AUACGUAGGGUGCGAGCGUUGUCCGGAAUUACUGGGCGUAAAGAGCUCGUAGGUGGUUUGUCGCGUCGUCUGUGAAAUUCCGGGGCUUAACUCCGGGCGUGCAGGCGAUACGGGCAUAACUUGAGUACUGUAGGGGAGACUGGAAUUCCUGGUGUAGCGGUGAAAUGCGCAGAUAUCAGGAGGAACACCGGUGGCGAAGGCGGGUCUCGGGGCAGUAACUGACGCUGAGGAGCGAAAGCAUGGGUAGCGAACAGGAUUAGAUACCCUGGUGGUCCAUGCCGUAAACGGUGGGCGCUAGGUGUAGGGGUCUUCCACGACUUCUGUGCCGAAGCUAACGCAUUAAGCGCCCCGCCUGGGGAGUACGGCCGCAAGGCUAAAACUCAAAUGAAUGGACGGGG
RNAcentral lists this ribosomal RNA (398 nucleotides) under uncultured bacterium. Its description in RNAcentral is "partial 16S ribosomal RNA". It matches the Rfam family "Bacterial small subunit ribosomal RNA", at positions 523 to 918 of the family's 1533-position model. The record is from RNAcentral.